This 714-nucleotide long non-coding RNA is filed under the name Pongo abelii (Sumatran orangutan). Its description in RNAcentral is "lincRNA". Lineage: Eukaryota; Metazoa; Chordata; Mammalia; Primates; Hominidae. The record is from RNAcentral.
ACCUCCCUACAAGCUGAGGGAGCGGAGCCGGCUGCGGCCUUGGCCAGCCCAGAAAGGGGCUCCUACAGUGCAGUGGCGGGCUGAAGGGCUCCUCAAGUGCCGCCAAAGUGGGAGCCCAGGCAGAGGAGGCGCCGAGAGCGAGCGAGGACUGUAAGGACUGCCAGCACGCUGUCACCUCUCACUAAUAUAGAUUGCCAAUCUAUUUGUUGACCAGGUUUGCUGGAGUUUGGAUUUACUACCAAGUCAUAUUUGGAGCAUGCUGGAAUCUUACAACUGAGAUUACUGAGUCAGAAACUUGCAAACAUGAGUAACAUGGCCCUGCUCUGGAGACUACUGGGAACACAAACACAGCCAUUUAAGACAUCUUCCUGCUUCUCCUUUCCCUUCCAUCAUGAUUGAAAGUUGUCUGAGGUCUCCCAGCCAUGUGUCCUGUACAGCCUGCGGAACUCCUUUGAAGAAGAAUCAGAAAAUGGAGACUGGGAUUGGAAGCAGAGAUCCGAUGGCCAAAUUACAGAGUCUUCCACUGAAACUAACUCACCUAUGGAUUCAGAGUAUUCUUUAGUCUCUUCCACCAUGUGAGGGCACAGUGAAAGGAAGGCCCUCUAUGGAGCAGAAUGUGGGCCCUUACCAACACUUGAGUCUUCCAUUGCCUUGACCUUUAACUUCCCAGCCUUCAAAACAGUGAGAAAUAAAUUUCUGUAGUUUAUAAGCCAA